AACGCACAUUGCGCCCCUUGGUAUUCCGAGGGGCAUGCCUGUUCGAGCGUCAUUAAACCCCUCAAGCUCUGCUUGGUGUUGGGGCCCGCGGUCUCGCGGCCCUUAAAAUCAGUGGCGGUGCCGUCUGGCUCUCAGCGUAGUAAUGCUCUCGCUACAGGGUCCAGCCGGUGGCUGCCAGAACCCCCAACUUUCUCAGUUUGACCUCGGAUCAGGUAGGGAUACCCGCUGAACUUAA
RNAcentral lists this unclassified non-coding RNA (235 nucleotides) under uncultured fungus. RNAcentral describes it as "partial contains 5.8S ribosomal RNA, internal transcribed spacer 2, and large subunit ribosomal RNA". The stretch from base 1 to 52 matches the Rfam family "5.8S ribosomal RNA", at positions 103 to 154 of the family's 154-position model. Lineage: Eukaryota; Fungi. The record is from RNAcentral.